CGCGGGGUGGUGCAGAGGUAGCACGUCGGGCUCAUAACCCGAAGGCCGUAGGUUCGAUUCCUACCCCCGCUA
This 72-nucleotide transfer RNA is filed under the name Spirochaetota bacterium. RNAcentral describes it as "Spirochaetes bacterium (freshwater sediment metagenome) tRNA-Met". It matches the Rfam family "tRNA". Rfam says of the family: Transfer RNA (tRNA) molecules are approximately 80 nucleotides in length. Lineage: Bacteria; Pseudomonadati; Spirochaetota. The record is from RNAcentral.